RNAcentral lists this ribosomal RNA (516 nucleotides) under uncultured bacterium. Its description in RNAcentral is "bacterial SSU rRNA". It matches the Rfam family "Bacterial small subunit ribosomal RNA", at positions 28 to 526 of the family's 1533-position model. The record is from RNAcentral.
GACGAACGCUGGCGGCGUGCCUAAUACAUGCAAGUCGAGCGGACCAAAGGGAGCUUGCUCCUGGAGGUUAGCGGCGAACGGGUGAGUAACACGUGGGCAACCUGCCUGUAAGACUGGGAUAACAUCGAGAAAUCGGUGCUAAUACCGGAUAAUAAAAAGAACUGCAUGGUUCUUUUUUGAAAGAUGGUUUCGGCUAUCACUUACAGAUGGGCCCGCGGCGCAUUAGCUAGUUGGUGGGGUAACGGCUCACCAAGGCGACGAUGCGUAGCCGACCUGAGAGGGUGAUCGGCCACACUGGGACUGAGACACGGCCCAGACUCCUACGGGAGGCAGCAGUAGGGAAUCUUCCGCAAUGGACGAAAGUCUGACGGAGCAACGCCGCGUGAGUGAUGAAGGUUUUCGGAUCGUAAAACUCUGUUGUUAGGGAAGAACAAGUGCCGUUCGAAAGGCGGCACCUUGACGGUACCUAACGAGAAAGCCACGGCUAACUACGUGCCAGCAGCCGCGGUAAAGUAC